AUCGAUGAAGAACGCAGCGAAAUGCGAUAAGUAAUGUGAAUUGCAGAAUUCAGUGAAUCAUCGAAUCUUUGAACGCACCUUGCGCCCUUUGGCUAUUCCGAAGGGCAUGCCUGUUUGAGUAUCAUGAACACCUCAACUCUCAUGGUUCGCCAUGAUGAGCUUGGACUUUGGGGGUCUUGCUGGCGUAACUGCCAGCUCCUCUCAAAUGAAUCAGCUUCCCAGUGUUUGGUGGCGUCACAGGUGUGAUAACUAUCUACGCUUGUGGUCUUCCAUCAGGUUACCUUCAGUAAUGGAGGUUCACUGGAGCUCACAGACGUCUCUCCUCAGGGAGGACAAGCUUCUUAACGUUUGAUCUCAAAUCAGGUAGGACUACCCGCUGAACUUAAGCAUAUCAAUAAGCGGAGGAAAAGAAACUAACAAGGAUUCCCCUAGUAACUGCGAGUGAAGCGGGAAGAGCUCAAAUUUAAAAUCUGGCGUGCCUCUGGUCGUCCGAGUUGUAGUCUGGAGAAGCGUUUUCCGUGUUGGACCGUGUACAAGUCUCUUGGAACAGGGCGUCAUAGAGGGUGAGAAUCCCGUCUUUGACACGGACUACCAAUGCUUUGUGAUGCGCUCUCAAAGAGUCGAGUUGUUUGGGAAUGCAGCUCAAAAUGGGUGGUAAAUUCCAUCUAAAGCUAAAUAUAGGCGAGAGACCGAUAGCGAACAAGUACCGUGAGGGAAAGAUGAAAAGCACUUUGGAAAGAGAGUUAAACAGUACGUGAAAUUGCUGAAAGGGAAACGCUUGAAGUCAGUCACGUCUGCCAGGACUCAGCCUUGCUUCUGCUUGGUGUACUUUCUGGUUUGACGGGCCAACAUCAAUUUUGACCGUUGGAGAAAGGCUUUGGGAAUGUGGCACCCUCGGGUGUGUUAUAGCCCUUUGUCGUAUACAACGGUUGGGAUUGAGGACCGCAGCACGCCUUCAUGGCCGGGGUUCGCCCACGUACGUGCUUAGGAUGUUGGCAUAAUGGCUUUAAGCGACCCGUCUUGAAACACGG
RNAcentral lists this ribosomal RNA (1031 nucleotides) under uncultured Basidiomycota. RNAcentral's name for it is "eukaryotic LSU rRNA". The stretch from base 350 to 1031 matches the Rfam family "Eukaryotic large subunit ribosomal RNA", at positions 1 to 664 of the family's 3401-position model. Lineage: Eukaryota; Fungi; Basidiomycota. The record is from RNAcentral.